Molecule: non-coding RNA, 72 nt
Organism: Lipotes vexillifer (Yangtze River dolphin)
Lineage: Eukaryota; Metazoa; Chordata; Mammalia; Artiodactyla; Lipotidae
Source: the annotation of a RefSeq genome assembly
UCCCUGGUGGUCCAGUGGUAGGACUCAGCGCUUUCACGGCUGUGGCCCCGGGUUCAAUCCCUGGCUGGGGAA